RNA transcript from Cyprinodon tularosa, 1792 nucleotides. It is a transcript of the gene named TAFA chemokine like family member 5, like, with no coding region annotated. Lineage: Eukaryota; Metazoa; Chordata; Actinopteri; Cyprinodontiformes; Cyprinodontidae. The transcript has 6 exons. The record is from RefSeq and is a predicted model, not a curated record.
GACGCGUCAUUUGGGCGCACAGAGUGCAGCAGCACAAAUCCAAUGUUUCCUCCUCUUCCUCAACACAGCCUGCAUGCUAAUAGAGCAGCUCAGAGUGGGAUGAGAAAGCCAGCUUGACUCUGCAAGGUGCUCUGAUUUCCUCCAAAUCAAAUCAGCGAGCCGUCAUCAGCGGGACAUUUCCUCAGAUCUCUGCAUAAAGGCUCAUACAGGUGACAAACGGUCCAAACUGGAAUCAGUGCGUUUUAUCCAUGGGGGGUGGGGGCUGGUGACCCUCAUUGCUACUCUUUCUAAAAUUAUUUUAUUUUUGUUUUCAAUUUCGUGUUGACGCGACGUUCCACUGCGCCGAUUUGCACAUGCGGACACGCAUGACGCAGCUGCGCCCCUUUGGCCGCGUUUUAAUCACAAUCUAUAAUACGGAUAUCAGAUUUUUUUUUUUUUGAGGGGGUCAGAGAUGGCGCACCGGAGUGUCCCGUUUUCUGACAAGUUUCCGCUGCUGUUUGGUAUGUCCGUCAUGUCCGCCCCUUCAUGAGCGCCUCUCCGCGUAGAACCAGGCGCAGGUUCCGAAGUUGGCCGGGAAUAACAAUAAGAGGACUGCGCAUCGCUGAGGACGAAGAGCAGAAGUGACAGCGGCUGAAUUCCCUACCAGCAUCAUCAGCAUCUCUGCGAGGAAUAAAAACUGUGCGGGGGGCUCUGCUGCUGCCCACUCCCUCUUCAUCCACACACUUUUUUUUUUUUUUUUUUUGGGUAAGAUUUUCUGCAGUGAAUCCAAGCGUCUGAAAGCAAAGCUGCGUAAAACUUGGCCAGAUCUGGUAACAUUGCCGCCUUUGUGCGCAGUCCGGAUGGAUAUGCGCCUCAUGGAGGGAAUUUAAUCAUAAGAUAAAAAGCAAGGGGGGGGGGAUUAUUAUUAUUAGACCCUCUUUUAUUUUACCUUCAAAAUGGAUGCCUACCAAAGGGUUUGGGGACGCCACUGGAUAAGCCACUAUUCCGCUAUCUGAGAGGCACCUGCGUUUAAAGUUUGGAUCAAUCUGUCUGUGUAGGAUGCAGUCUGGAGCCAAGACGCUCUCCGCAGGUGGAGGGGCGUCACUCUGCUGCCUGCUUCUCCUCUGGCUCAUUUACUCACAUCUGCUUAGAGAAGGCCAGUUGGCGGUGGGGACCUGCGAGAUAGUGAUGCUCAACAGAGACAGCAGUGUUCCUAGACGGACAAUCGCCAGGCAGACCGCCCGCUGCGCCUGCCGGAGAGGCCAGAUUGCCGGCACCACCAGGGCGAGGCCGGCGUGUGUAGACGCGCGAAUUGUGCGGAGCCGUCAGUGGUGUGAGAUGGCUCCCUGCAUGGAGGGGGAGGUCUGCAGCCUCCUGUCCAACAGAUCCGGCUGGACCUGCACCAGGGGCAGUGGUCGCAUCAAGACCGUCACGAACAUAUGAACUACGUCAGCAGAAGACCAAAGUGGGAACUAUUUCUCCUUUACCCAAGGAGCCAUCGUAGGUGGAAGAGGAAAAACAGCAGGGUCACCAACAGCUCUCUAUUUACACAAGCAAAGCGGUGGCCAGUCACUACAUCUGUAUCCAUUGACCAACGGACCUCGGUAACAUUUCCACGAGGACUGACCAUCCAGGACAAAAAAAAAAAAAAAAGCUUCGACAGUCUCUACAGCAAAACUUGAGAGAACUCAGAGGAGCAAUACACCAUUAGCAUUGAACUUUCACCCUCAGCAAGAUCACAAAGUCAUCAUUGGAAAGUGAAAACAAGAAGAAAAAAAAACACGAGCCUUCAUGUCAUCCACAACCUGAUUUC